AAUAUUUCUCAAUUGCGGGGCCCUUGGCAAAAUAACCAUAUAUUUAAACAUACAGCUGAGUUAUGUGAAAGAGGUUACAUAGUAACCGCUUCCGAAAUGCAGAGAAAGGUGUAUAACUGCACCCAACUCUUCAGAAAGAAACUGCAAAAUAUUGGUGUGUCCGGCAGGUCCCCAUCACCUUGGAAGAAUUUUGGGAAAUUUGCCACUCCACAAUAUUACUGGGUUAAUUGUAAAUAAUUUUGGAGACCAAAAACCAGGGUCAUCCACUUAAAGUUGUGUACCGUCGCCGUUAUUGUCAGCGUCGUUACCAUUGCGCUGCACUAGUUCUGACAUCUCGG
This is a long non-coding RNA of Teleopsis dalmanni, 338 nucleotides long. RefSeq lists it as uncharacterized. The transcript has 3 exons. NCBI's taxonomy places the organism in Eukaryota, Metazoa, Arthropoda, Insecta, Diptera, Diopsidae. The record is from RefSeq and is a predicted model, not a curated record.